This is a non-coding RNA of Camellia sinensis, 1502 nucleotides long. NCBI's taxonomy places the organism in Eukaryota, Viridiplantae, Streptophyta, Magnoliopsida, Ericales, Theaceae. The record is from RefSeq and is a predicted model, not a curated record.
AAAAGUAUUCUAUACAAUUAAUAAAAAUCUACACAAAAAGCUGAGGACGACAAAAAUGCGGGAGUUUACAAAAGUGCAAAUUGUCAUCCGUCAACAAAAAUAGAAUAUCCACAACUCCAUGCCAAAAGCCAUCUACAACAAAAUAUAAAAAAUAAAAAUACACCAAUUAGUUCCAUAUAUAACAUUUGAGCAUAAUGUCACACCCCUUGUAACUGUAAUAGAACUUUAUCCUAACAUUCGUAAUUUGAUAUUGGUUUAACAAUUUACUGCCUCAUUACUUUUCCUUCAACAAGGCUAGAGUAGCUUCUGUUUUCUUCCAUUGCCAAAACAUCAUUUGCCGUUCACUGUUUGACAGGGUUGAUAAAGGUUGUCCAGCUUGAGAACUGCCAAGUCACUACAAUAUGAAUUAAUAGUCAUAUUCUAAACACAAUACAAAGUUGGGUAUCAGAUGUAUAUUUUAUUUUAAUAUUACUUUGUUUACUGGGCCAGGGAUGGAUUAUUUGAAAAAUUGGUUCUUCAUUACACUCUCUCCUUGAAACUUUUGACUGCUAAUAUUCGAGGUUUUGAAUUUCACAAAAGAUUUGGCUAAGAGAACCCUGGAAAGAGUAUAGAGACAGUGUUUGAUUUGGUGGAGAUGGAGGAUGAUGAAAGGCGAGAGCUAUUGCAAAUGUCAGAUUCACAGUUGAUGGAUAUUGCGCGGGUUUGCAACCGUUUCCCGAAUAUUGAUCUGACCUAUGAUGUGGUUGAUGGCAACAAUGUGAGGGCUGGGGAUGAUGUCAGUUGCAGGUGACCCUUGAACGGGGAUCUUGAGGGCAGGUCAGGGGUGGGACCCAUUGAUGCCCCUAGUAUCCCAAAACCAAAGGAGGAUGGUGGCUUGUGGUUGGUGAUACCAAAAGUAACCAAAAGUAAGCUUGCCAUCAAAAGAGUUUCCUUGCAGAGGAAAGCCAAGGUCAAGCUUGAUUUGCUGCCCCUGGAGAAGCAGGAAAGAAGACCUAUACCCUCUAUUUCAUGUGUGAUUCUUAUAUGGGUUGUGACCAAGAAUAUAGCUUUGCUCUUGAUAUCAGAGAAGCAGGCGCUAUUGAAGACGACAGUGGAAGAGAAUGACUAACAUGCUUAGAAGAUUGAACUCCUUUUCUUUUGUACCAUUUGUAAGUUUCCUACCGUGUUAUUCCUGUUAUUGCUAGACCAGGAAUAUGUUGGCAGGUGAUGCAUCAUUUGAGUUGACUCUUGUACUUAAAAUGGUUGAGAUCGUCUGAAAUUUGUUGCUGUCGAAGCCUAAUUUGUAGCCUUGCAUAUUUUCCCAUUUAUAUUAGCUCUUCAAUUUGUGAUGCUCAGCUUAGGGGUAAACAGAAAAGAACUGCAAUAUGCAACAGUUUGCAUUAUUGUUUUAGAUUUAGUCACUUGUGUUGCUCUUUUUCUGUGUCUCUCUUUUGCUUUGUGUUUCAACAACUGCUAUAGUUUUCCUGCCAUCCGAAAUGGGAAAAUUGUAGAUGACUCAGGUU